AACCCCGGAUGCCCUCCGUCGUCAUCCUUAGAAGGCGCUUACCCGCUUUCGGACUGCCUCGUUGCGGCGCACUCACUACUUCCAAAAGCCUAGCAUUUCGAGACAACGGUUCCUCUUGCAGAAGAUCUCAUUGACGAUCCUCACUGCCAUGAACUCUUCUUUCGGGGCCGAUUGAUGCACGGUCGUCGGCGCCAUUAUG
This 199-nucleotide ribosomal RNA is filed under the name Paenibacillus sp. M0.1S2. RNAcentral describes it as "partial 16S rRNA". Lineage: Bacteria; Bacillati; Bacillota; Bacilli; Caryophanales; Paenibacillaceae. The record is from RNAcentral.